GCUGGAUUAGCUCAGUUGGUUAGAGCGUGCGGCUGUUAACCGCAAGGUCGGAGGUUCGACCCCUCCAUCUAGCG
Marchantia polymorpha subsp. polymorpha is the source of this 74-nucleotide transfer RNA. It matches the Rfam family "tRNA". From Rfam's summary of the family: Transfer RNA (tRNA) molecules are approximately 80 nucleotides in length. Lineage: Eukaryota; Viridiplantae; Streptophyta; Marchantiopsida; Marchantiales; Marchantiaceae. The record is from Rfam.